GGGCUGGGGCUCAGAGGUAGAGUGUUCACCUAGCAUGCGUGAGGCCCUGAGUUCCAUCCUCAGCACCACA
This 70-nucleotide transfer RNA is filed under the name Marmota monax (woodchuck). Its description in RNAcentral is "tRNA.Ala". The record is from RNAcentral. Lineage: Eukaryota; Metazoa; Chordata; Mammalia; Rodentia; Sciuridae.